GAAGUAAAAGUCGUAACAAGGUCUCCGUUGGUGAACCAGCGGAGGGAUCAUUACCGAGUUUACAACUCCCAAACCCCUGUGAACAUACCACUUGUUGCCUCGGCGGAUCAGCCCGCUCCCGGUAAAACGGGACGGCCCGCCAGAGGACCCCUAAACUCUGUUUCUAUAUGUAACUUCUGAGUAAAACCAUAAAUAAAUCAAAACUUUCAACAACGGAUCUCUUGGUUCUGGCAUCGAUGAAGAACGCAGCAAAAUGCGAUAAGUAAUGUGAAUUGCAGAAUUCAGUGAAUCAUCGAAUCUUUGAACGCACAUUGCGCCCGCCAGUAUUCUGGCGGGCAUGCCUGUUCGAGCGUCAUUUCAACCCUCAAGCACAGCUUGGUGUUGGGACUCGCGUUAAUUCGCGUUCCUCAAAUUGAUUGGCGGUCACGUCGAGCUUCCAUAGCGUAGUAGUAAAACCCUCGUUACUGGUAAUCGUCGCGGCCACGCCGUUAAACCCCAACUUCUGAAUGUUGACCUCGGAUCAGGUAGGAAUACCCGCUGAACUUAAGCAUAUCAA
This 556-nucleotide ribosomal RNA is filed under the name Fusarium oxysporum. RNAcentral describes it as "eukaryotic LSU rRNA". The stretch from base 202 to 355 matches the Rfam family "5.8S ribosomal RNA". The record is from RNAcentral. Lineage: Eukaryota; Fungi; Ascomycota; Sordariomycetes; Hypocreales; Nectriaceae.